Molecule: long non-coding RNA, 552 nt
Filed under: Dermacentor andersoni
Lineage: Eukaryota; Metazoa; Arthropoda; Arachnida; Ixodida; Ixodidae
Description: uncharacterized LOC126524531
Source: RNAcentral
ACUUCGGUACCAGCUCUGUGGACAGCGCAGGCUUACGAGAUUACGAUGUCACGUCUCUGCAGUGUCCGAGUUGUGUUUCUUGCUGCCGCUAUUAUUGUGAUAACGGAGAGUCUGCGAGCGUCUCCACCUAAGCCGCCAUCGACAGGUUCAGUGAACUGCGGAGAAUACAAUUGCACCGAAUAUGCAAACCAUACCACGGAAGGUUGCCCAGAUGAUUGCAGAUGUUCCGGGCUUGACCGUACAACUGAUUUCCCCAAAAAUGGUUUCUGCGUGCAACAUGAUGGAGGCUACAGACUGCCAGACUCAGGUUCUGGCUGAUCCAGUCCAUCAGUGCACGGUGGAAGAGGACACUACUAGUUUUUGUUAUUUAAAGAUGAAAUAAACAAAAAAAAAAGAUUUCGCGCUUUGAUAAUUCAAAUUUCUAAAUUACUUGCACAUUCCUGCCCGUGCCUUAGUUCUGUUGAUAGAGCGUCGGGGAUCUGCAUUGUGUCAUGUAAAUGUCACGAAAAAUUACAUAGGGGCUGAAUAAAUUACUGUUUCGCCGUUCUUAGA